GUCAUGUCUAUAAAGCCAAGCACGCCAACCCCAAGCGGCUCCUUCAACCCCUGAGAUCUUAAACAAAAUCUCUGGCUUUUCUUCUGACCUGGGAAGGAGGAACUCCGGCUGCGGUGGCCGUGUGCUGUGAACAGAAAGAACCCGGUGACAAGGGGGUAGGGGGAGGCAGCUGAUACUGUGGUUCUGGGAACAAACUGGCCUCUUCAGCCUGGGCUCAUGUUAGAAUUUUGUUCCCCCUGGCUUGUUGGAAGGAGCAGAUGGCCCAGCAUGGGACAAAUGUGAUCCAUAAUGCAAGGAAUGAGGAAACAUGUAGCCCAAACUAGCCUGUAACUCACUAUGUGGUAACUCCUGAUCCUCCUGCCUCCUCGUGCCAAGUGCUGGUACACCAGGCAUGUGCUGCCACCCAGCGAGGCCAGCAGUCUACCAACUGAGCUAACUGCCAGCUGCUGCCCUUCCAAUUCCAAGCCUGGAAGAUGUGAGUAGCACAGGGCGAGAUUUCUGACCCACAACACCUCCCAUCCCAGCACUGGAGACUGAAGCAUGGAUUCUGAGGCCAGCCUGGGCUACCAAAGAAGACUGUGUUUUAAAAAGAAAAAGAAAAAAAGAAAAUUAAAAUGGACUAACCCUCGAGUGCUCAGAGAGCAGCAGGGGGCCUACCGGGCUCCGCCCACUGCUACAAUGCUUCCCCUUCGAGGUCACUAGGCUACUACCCAGUCGUUGAAGAGGAGUAUAGCUCUGACACCAUGCCAGCAGUUUAAACUGGAUACAGGAGAACUUGCAUGUAAGAGCCACUUCCAGAAGGUCCCAAGAGCACAGAGAUGGGGUGGGGAGUGAAUGGGCACCUCGAACCCUUGUCCCCAUCCAGGGGUGGGAGGGGAUUAGUGUAGGAUGGGAGCAGAGCAUCUUAGUGCAUUAUGGAAAGCUCUGAAGUGGGGGGUCCAGUGACUGCUCUGCUGUCCACAGCCGUGGGCUAGGACAGAUACGGUGGGGACAGUGACAAGGGAGACCAGCAGUCCUGUGGCUGUGGCUGUGUGUGGCCAAGCCAGUGAGACCCUGGGCAUGGCUGGCAUUGUUUAUACGAAUGUGAAUUCUGGGGUCGCCCUGUUUGUGCUCUGAGCUGAGUAAGGCUCUCAACAUAAAUGAGGGAGGCAGGGCCCAGCAAGAUGGCUCAGCAGGUAAAGGUGCUUGCAGCCAGGUCUUGAUGACCCAAGUUCAAUUCCCAUUUGAUGGAAAGAGAACUGACUCCCCUCAAGUGAUCUCCACAUGUGUGUGGAUGCAUUCACAACAGAUAAAUAAUAGCUAAUAAUAGCUAAUAAAUUGUCUUUUUUCUUU
Mus caroli (Ryukyu mouse) is the source of this 1332-nucleotide non-coding RNA. The record is from RefSeq and is a predicted model, not a curated record. Lineage: Eukaryota; Metazoa; Chordata; Mammalia; Rodentia; Muridae.